RNAcentral lists this ribosomal RNA (468 nucleotides) under uncultured bacterium. RNAcentral describes it as "partial 16S ribosomal RNA". It matches the Rfam family "Bacterial small subunit ribosomal RNA", at positions 28 to 507 of the family's 1533-position model. The record is from RNAcentral.
GACGAACGCUGGCGGCGUGCUUAACACAUGCAAGUCGAACGGAAAGGCCCUGCUUUUGGGGGGAGCUGGAGUGGCGAACGGGUGAGUAACACGUGAGUAACCUUCCCUUGACUUUGGGAUAACUUCAGGAAACUGGGGCUAAUACCGGAUAGGAGCUCCUGCUGCAUGUGGGGGGUGGGAAAGGUUCGGCGGUUGGGGAUGGACUCGCGGCGUAUCCGCUUGUUGGUGGGGUGGUGGAUUACCAAGGCUUUGACGGGUAGCCGGCCUGAGGGGGUGACCGGCCCGGCUGGGACUGAGCUACGGCCCAGACUACUAUGGGAGGCAGCAGUGCGGUAUAGUACACAGCGGGCGGAAGCAUGAUGUAGUGACGCGGCGCGCCGUAUGCCGUCAUUCGCGUUGUAGUGUGAUUUUGCCUCUGACGAAGCGUGAGUGACGGUACUGGGUAAAGAAGCUCCGGCUAACUACGUG